UGAUAUGAAAAGAUGCCAUUUGACCGG
This 27-nucleotide non-coding RNA is filed under the name Homo sapiens (human). The record is from RNAcentral. Lineage: Eukaryota; Metazoa; Chordata; Mammalia; Primates; Hominidae.